CUUGAUUAGUGGCGCACGGGUGAGUAAUGCAUAGAUAAUGUGCCCCUUAGUUCGGGAUAGCCACUGGAAACGGUGAUUAAUACCGGAUACUCCUUCUUGUUAUAAGACAAGUCGGGAAAGUUUUUCGCUAAGGGAUCAGUCUAUGUUCCGUCAGCUUGUUGGUGAGGUAAUGGCUCACCAAGGCUAUGACGGAUAUCUGGUUUGAGAGGAUGAUCAGGCACACUGGAACUGGGACACGGUCCAGACUCCUACGGGAGGCAGCAGUGAGGAAUAUUGCACAAUGGAGGAAACUCUGAUGCAGCAACGCCGCGUGGAGGAUGACGCAUUUCGGUGUGUAAACUCCUUUUAUUAGGGAAGAUAAUGACGGUACCUAAUGAAUAAGCACCGGCUAACUCCGUGCCAGCAGCCGCGGUAAUACGGAGGGUGCAAGCGUUACUCGGAAUCACUGGGCGUAAAGGGUGCGUAGGCUGGCUUUUAAGUCAGAUGUGAAAUCCAAUGGCUCAACCAUUGAACUGCAUUUGAAACUGAAAGCCUAGAGUUCAGAAGGGGCAGAUGGAAUUAGUGGUGUAGGGGUAAAAUCCGUAGAUAUCACUAGGAAUAUCAAAAGCGAAGGCGAUCUGCUGGGAUGAUACUGACG
Molecule: ribosomal RNA, 637 nt
Filed under: uncultured bacterium
Lineage: Bacteria
Description: bacterial SSU rRNA
Rfam family: Bacterial small subunit ribosomal RNA
Source: RNAcentral